AGUGAACGCUGGCGGCAGGCCUAACACAUGCAAGUCGAGCGGCAGCGGGCUGUAGCAAUACAGUGCCGGCGAGCGGCGGACGGGUGAGGAAUACAUCGGAAUCUACCUUGUCGUGGGGGAUAACGUAGGGAAACUUACGCUAAUACCGCAUACGAACUACGGUUGAAAGCGGAGGACCGCAAGGCUUCGCGCGAUUGGAUGAGCCGAUGUCGGAUUAGCUAGUUGGCGGGGUAAUGGCCCACCAAGGCGACGAUCCGUAGCUGGUCUGAGAGGAUGAUCAGCCACACUGGAACUGAGACACGGUCCAGACUCCUACGGGAGGCAGCAGUGGGGAAUAUUGGACAAUGGGCGCAAGCCUGAUCCAGCCAUGCCGCGUGUGUGAAGAAGGCCUUAGGGUUGUAAAGCUCUUUCAGAUGGGAAGAUAAUGACGGUACCAUCAGAAGAAGCCCCGGCUAACUCCGUGCCAGCAGCCGCGGUAA
RNAcentral lists this ribosomal RNA (479 nucleotides) under uncultured bacterium. RNAcentral describes it as "bacterial SSU rRNA". It matches the Rfam family "Bacterial small subunit ribosomal RNA", at positions 29 to 523 of the family's 1533-position model. The record is from RNAcentral.